UACGUAGGGGGCAAGCGUUGUCCGGAUUUAUUGGGCGUAAAGAGCGUGUAGGCGGUUUGGUAGGUCCGUUGUGAAAACUCGAGGCUCAACCUCGAGACGCCGAUGGAAACCAUCAGACUAGAGUCCGGAAGAGGAGAGUGGAAUUCCUGGUGUAGCGGUGAAAUGCGCAGAUAUCAGGAGGAACACCGGUGGCGAAGGCGGUUCUCUGGGCCUGUACUGACGCUGAGGAGCGAAAGCGUGGGGAGCAAACAGG
RNAcentral lists this ribosomal RNA (253 nucleotides) under uncultured bacterium. Its description in RNAcentral is "partial 16S ribosomal RNA". It matches the Rfam family "Bacterial small subunit ribosomal RNA", at positions 524 to 776 of the family's 1533-position model. The record is from RNAcentral.